This is a long non-coding RNA of Maniola jurtina (meadow brown), 1605 nucleotides long. RefSeq lists it as uncharacterized. The transcript is spliced from 3 exons. Lineage: Eukaryota; Metazoa; Arthropoda; Insecta; Lepidoptera; Nymphalidae. The record is from RefSeq and is a predicted model, not a curated record.
AUUAUUGAAAAUUUUUUUCGCUAAAGUAAUGAAGUAUGAUUUGUACUUCAUAUAUAUGUGUAUUUGUCUGAUUAGAAGGUAUUUUUUUUUAAAUCCGGACUAGAGAAGGUCUUAGGCAGUACUCUAUAAUCCGACAAAUAGUAGAUCGAUAGUUCCACACUGCCCUGCAAAACGUUUGUCGGAUUACCGAGGGUCCACUGUAAUGGCUUUAAAAGGACAUUCCGAAUCAGUGGUAGAUUCAUUUGAUGAUUCGAAAAUAUUUUAUAACUAAGAACUUUUCUAUUUCUAUGUCUAAUAGCUGAUGUUAGAUCAAAAUAAUUGUUUUGUACUUAUUAUCAAUAGCUAUAACAGUUUAUAUCGAUUCUUUAACUAAUUUGUAAGAGUAAAAUUGAACGCUACCGUAAGAUAAGUGCCGCACGCAAUGAAUUUUUUAUUGCGUUCAAUCAUUUAUACAAGUUACGCCAUAAUUAAGUAAAAGUUAAUACUUUGGGGGCGUAAAUAUUGAUUUGACGAGAUGAGAGAUUGUAUUGUAAUAAGUCUUAUUCCGUUUAUCCGCCCUAAAACAGCCAUCCUAGGAUGUAGGUAUACCCGAAAACGUGUAUCCAUCUAUCCACCUCGGAAUAACGGAAUCUGUAUAUCAUUUUUUAGUCCGGGAUGUAAAAACGGACAGACAUUUCCCUGUAACAGCCUAGGGUGGCUGUUUUGUGUUGAAUAAACGGAAUAAACGUAAUGUUAUAUAAUCAUCAUUAUAUAAGCCAUAAAAUUACAAAAAUAUUUUUUUAUGAUAGCAAUAUAUCUAUACAAUCAGACUACAAAAUUAUUAUAAUUAUAUUAUGCAAUUAAAAAAUAUAUUAAAAACUACAUAAAAUUUUAUAUGCGAAAUUGUAACGAUUAUUAUGUUAAAGAUUUAGAGCCGUAGCACAGGGCACUUGCACAAAAGUUGUGAUUUACCACAUUGCUACAAUCUCGACCGUUGUGAUUGGCUGAAUUUAUGGUAUUCUUGUUGUCACUGCAUUUUAGCCAAUAGUGGGAGAGAAUCGGCCAAUCAAAGAUUUGUGUAUGUAUGUCGCCACGAUGUAGCUGUCUAACUUUUGUGCAAAAUUCCUUUUCCGAAACCUUGACUAGCGGUCAGUUUAGCUUUUCGUACUAUUGGCGCUCCCACAUGUCGGUUAUAUAACGAUAUAUAACAUGAUAACAUUCUCUAAGGCGCGGGCACAUUUCUAAACAACUUUUACUCUGGCAUCAAAUCUUAAAUGACAAAAAUAUUUUGGUCUUUUAUCGAUAUAUUUACUUGGAUAUCGGCAUAUUUGUAUGCAGCAGUUGAUUGUUUUUUCAUACAAUUGAAGGUUUGGCUCCAUAGUAAAAGUGUUUAUAACAAUUUUAGUACAGUACCUAACCCCUUAUGGGUUAGAACACCCCCCUUUCCGACUAACCAUAUUAGUCUAUGGAAACGACAUCAUAAAAAUGUGCGUACCAUGUCUCCGCGCUUUGCACUUACUACUUCCUAGCAAAAUGUUGCAUUUAAUAACAUUCAACCUUAAUUUAUAAUUGAUACCAUUUUCUUGAUGACAGUCUCAACAAAUACUAUUUGUAUUAUAACAUUAU